GAUCCUGCCGGAGGCGACUGCUAUUGGGGUUCGGCUAAAGCAUGCUAGUCGUGCGAUACAGCGGCAUACGGCUCCGUAACACGUGGAUAACCUACCCACAGGAAGGGGAUAACCCCGGGAAACUGAGGCUAAUCCCUUAUAGACAAGAGAAGCUGGAAGGCUUUCUUGUCCAAAGGUCCGCCGCCAGUGGAUGGGUCCGCGCCUGAUUAGGCUGUUGGUAGGGUAAAGGCCUACCAAACCUAUGAUCAGUACGGGCAAUGAGAGUUGGAGCCCGGAGAUGGGGACUGAGACAAGGCCCCAGGUCCUACGGGGCGCAGCAGCUACGAAAACUUCGCAAUGCCCGAAAGGGUGACGAGGGAACCCCAAGUGCUUCCGUUUUACGGAGGCUUUUCUUUGGCUUAGUGAACCAGGGGAAUAAGAGCUGGGUAAGACCGGUGCCAGCCGCCGCGGUAACACCGGCAGCUCAAGUGGUCGCCGCGUUUAUUGGACCUAAAGCGUUCGUAGCCGGGCAUGUAAGUCUCCAGGUAAAUCGUGCGUUUAAUCGUACGGCUUCUGGAGAAACUGCACGCCUUGAGGCCGGGAGAGGUGAGAGGUACUCCAGGGGUAGCGGUAAAAUGCUAUAAUCCUUGGGGGACCACCUGUGGCGAAGGCGUCUCACUGGAACGGCCCUGACGGUGAGGGACGAAACCCAGGGGAGCGAGCCGGAUUAGAUACCCGGGUAGUCCUGGGCGUAAAUCAUGCGGAUAAAGUGUGUCGCUAUCUACGAGAUAGCGCCAUGCCGUAGGGAAGCCGUUAAGUCCGCCGUCUGGGGAGUACGGUCGCAAGGCUGAAACUUAAAGGAAUUGGCGGGGGAGCACCACAAGGGGUGGAGGCUGCGGUUUAAUUGGAUUCAACGCCGGG
RNAcentral lists this ribosomal RNA (900 nucleotides) under uncultured archaeon. RNAcentral describes it as "bacterial SSU rRNA". It matches the Rfam family "Archaeal small subunit ribosomal RNA", at positions 10 to 922 of the family's 1478-position model. The record is from RNAcentral.